RNAcentral lists this ribosomal RNA (420 nucleotides) under uncultured bacterium. Its description in RNAcentral is "bacterial SSU rRNA". It matches the Rfam family "Bacterial small subunit ribosomal RNA", at positions 356 to 773 of the family's 1533-position model. The record is from RNAcentral.
AAGGAAUAUUGGUCAAUGGGCGCAAGCCUGAACCAGCCAUGCCGCGUGCAGGAUGACUGCCCUACGGGUUGUAAACUGCUUUUGUACGGGAACAAACCUGGAUAUGUAUAUCCAGCUGAGCGUACCGUAAGAAUAAGGAUCGGCUAACUCCGUGCCAGCAGCCGCGGUAAUACGGAGGAUCCGAGCGUUAUCCGGAUUUAUUGGGUUUAAAGGGUGCGUAGGCGGCCAUUUAAGUCAGGGGUGAAAUACGGCAGCUCAACUGUCGCAGUGCCUUUGAUACUGAGUGGCUUGAAUACCGUUGAAGAUGGCGGAAUGAGACAAGUAGCGGUGAAAUGCAUAGAUAUGUCUCAGAACACCGAUUGCGAAGGCAGCUGUCUAAGCGGUCAUUGACGCUGAUGCACGAAAGCGUGGGGAUCAAAC